RNAcentral lists this ribosomal RNA (388 nucleotides) under uncultured organism. RNAcentral describes it as "bacterial SSU rRNA". It matches the Rfam family "Bacterial small subunit ribosomal RNA", at positions 45 to 433 of the family's 1533-position model. The record is from RNAcentral.
UGCUUUACACAUGCAAGUCGAACGGCAGCACGGGAGCUUGCUCCUGGUGGCGAGUGGCGAACGGGUGAGUAACAUAUCGGAACGUACCCAGUCGUGGGGGAUAACUAUCCGAAAGGAUAGCUAAUACCGCAUACGUCCUGAGGGAGAAAGCGGGGGAUCGCAAGACCUCGCGCGAUUGGAGCGGCCGAUAUCGGAUUAGCUAGUUGGUGGGGUAAAGGCUCACCAAGGCGACGAUCCGUAGCGGGUCUGAGAGGACGACCCGCCACACUGGAACUGAGACACGGUCCAGACUCCUAUGGGAGGCAGCAGUGGGGAAUUUUGGACAAUGGGGGCAACCCUGAUCCAGCCAUUCCGCGUGAGUGAAGAAGGCCUUCGGGUUGUAAAGCUC